Molecule: ribosomal RNA, 326 nt
Filed under: uncultured Bacillota bacterium
Lineage: Bacteria; Bacillati; Bacillota
Description: bacterial SSU rRNA
Rfam family: Bacterial small subunit ribosomal RNA
Source: RNAcentral
GAUGAACGCUGGCGGCGUGCCUAACACAUGCAAGUCGAGCGAUGAUGUUUUCUUCGGAAAACUGAUUAGCGGCGGACGGGUGAGUAACACGUGGGCAACCUGCCUUGUAGAGGGGAAUAGCCUUCCGAAAGGAAGAUUAAUACCGCAUAACAUUACUAAGUGGCAUCACUUGGUAAUCAAAGGAGCAAUCCGCUACAAGAUGGGCCCGCGUCGCAUUAGUUAGUUGGUGGGGUAAUGGCCUACCAAGACGACGAUGCGUAGCCGACCUGAGAGGGUGAUCGGCCACAUUGGGACUGAGACACGGCCCAGACUCCUACGGGUGGCAG